GUACUAUUUUAACAUUUGUCCAAGUAUUUUGUUUCUAUUUAUUAAGGUACCUCUGAGGAUGUUCUGGCUUUGCUUUUGUUUGUUUGUUUUGUUUUGGCUUGUUUGUUUGUUUUUGCUAUGGAUCUUGGGUUUUUUGUGUGUGCACAAAAACCACCUAUUACAACAACUAACUCAGCAAUGAGGACAGGCUGGAGCCUGGAAGCUUGCUGCAGCUUCCAGUUCACUAUUGCUUGAUGUUCUUUGCAGAGACUGUGCUCUUGGGCAGUGUCACUUUAGCACAACCUCACUACUGGACGCCUACCUUGACUUUCUGAGUGUGAGGUGCUCCAUGACGAGCUUUCAGCUGGUGGGCAAGGAGCGUGCUGCAACGCCUUGCGUGUCUCUGACAGUCUGGAUUUCCAGCCAGCAGCUGGUUGAGCGGGGAGGACGGGAGAGCCCAAGAGCAUUGCAGUCCUUUCUUCUACCAAAAGAUGGAGUGAAUGAGCUACUGAACAGCCUGUGCAGCUAAGAGAUUCGCUAAGCAGGUUUUUCAUUUCCAUUGUUCACACCUGAAUUCCCUAUGAGAUGCUGGCAAAAGAGCUUCUCCCAUCAACAACGCAAGCAUGAAAGGGGUAGCUUUCCUGGACUUCAUUCUUCUGUCUUUGCCACUGUGUUUGCUCCACUUAGUGUCUGCCUUUGUGCCGACGGACUCUCAUUAUUUCUCUCAGCAGGUUUCCUGAGGCUAUCCCUUGGAAACCCAUUAAAUCUGAAGAAGAAACCAAAGCGUAGUCUCCCAGGGCUGACUUCAAGGGUGCAGCGAAAGUCCAGAUCUCUAAUGCAUCCCUUUCCCCUCAUUCCUGACAUGCAUCUUGCGUGGACUCAGUGUAUAAACCAUCCCCAAGCGUUCCUUCUGCCAGGGUCUCUUAUAUUCAUACCUCUGGCUCUCCUCAGGCAGCAGCAUGAAGCCGGCAUGAAUCUUAUAUUGUUUGCUACUCGUCGCCUCUUCAAACACUCCAGAGGAGUGUUCCUUAUUCCACAGAAAUCACAGGCAGCCGUUCUUCUUAGAGGUGCUUUGUGCUGCUUCCUGCUCAGCCUGGGAAGGUGGAGUUACGCUGACCUACUCUAA
Long non-coding RNA from Numida meleagris (helmeted guineafowl), 1105 nucleotides. Lineage: Eukaryota; Metazoa; Chordata; Aves; Galliformes; Numididae. The record is from Ensembl.